UCCCCUUAUUUGAUGUCAGAGGGAAGGAAACCCCCAACCUGUCCCCACUGAGGCAUCCCACAGUGCCUAUAAUAAUUAGUACUGUGGUCUCAUGCCUUUUCCUAUAUGAGACAAUUUUCCCUUCAAUUUAGUAUUCAAGGUGUACAUGAGUAUAUAUAUAGGCAGCAUUGGUGUUAAAAAUCAACGUAGCUCUCCUGGAAGUGAAAAUGCUGUUACUCUAUUUCUUCUUGUUGAGUUGCUGUCUAUCUGUCUCUAUGGGCAGUGCAAUAGAAGAAUUUGAAGCGAACUUCAAGACUUUAGUGGAUCUAGCAAAGAAGGAGAUCUUUGUUCAAGUACCAGCAGGCAGAUUUAAGUGCAACUGUGUUCGUUAUCACCUUAAUAAUACCAUGGAACAGCUGAAAUCAGCAAAAGACUUGAAGAAUGACCAAAUGACAGAAUAUAUUUAUGUGAUGGAGAAAAACAUGGCCCACAUAAUAAGAAACUUAAAUAAAAUAUAUACAGAAUCUAAGGAAGACCAUUCCUGUCCAGAGAAAGAGGUAUUUCUUCCGAUUGCCCAGAAACUCUAUCAAAAAUUCUUUGAAAAUCUGAAUGAAAAGAAUCACUGUGCUUGAAAAGCCAGCUGGACACGUGGUUUAUACAACACUAUAGCUAGUUCUGACAACAUACUGCAAAUCUACCAGGGAACUCCAUGAAGAGACAGCACAACAUUAACAUGAAUGUUUUAUAUAUAUUAUGGGAUAUUUAUAGCUUUAUUUCUUAUUGCAGCUAUUUAUGUAUUUAUUUAAUUUAUAGAGAACGUUUGUAUUUUUAUGGAGUUGUAACGUUCAAAGUGAUAGUGAAUGACAGAAGUAUUUAAAGUUAUUCAUUCUAUUGUAUUUUUGUGUGAUAUAAUAUUUAGUAUGUAUGUUAAGGCCUGAAUAAAACUGUGAGUGAAAUUAAAAAAUAUAUAGAU
Molecule: long non-coding RNA, 952 nt
Filed under: Struthio camelus australis
Lineage: Eukaryota; Metazoa; Chordata; Aves; Struthioniformes; Struthionidae
Description: lncRNA (ENSSCUG00000002303.1)
Source: RNAcentral